GUGCUCACUUUGGCAGCACCUAUACUAAAACUAGAACAAUACAGAGAUUUGCAUGGCCCCUGUGCAAGGAUGACAUGCAAAUGCAUGAAGCAUUCCAUUUUUCU
Small nuclear RNA from Manis javanica (Malayan pangolin), 104 nucleotides. The record is from RefSeq and is a predicted model, not a curated record. Lineage: Eukaryota; Metazoa; Chordata; Mammalia; Pholidota; Manidae.